This 781-nucleotide long non-coding RNA is filed under the name Capra hircus (goat). RNAcentral describes it as "lncRNA (ENSCHIG00000001306.1)". Lineage: Eukaryota; Metazoa; Chordata; Mammalia; Artiodactyla; Bovidae. The record is from RNAcentral.
CCCGGCUGGGCCGCUGCCCCCGGCGCCCUCGUCCUCGGCCCCUGGCUCCGGGAAACCCAGCUGCUCCGCUCGAGUCCCUGCGGACUCCUGGCCGUCCACCUUUGACCCUGCACCCCCACCCCCACCCCCAUCAUCCCGCUGUCCCUAAACUCUGCGCGAACCCGCCGCCGUCCUCACAGAACGCUGGGCUACUUUUGAUUCCAAAGUGAAACGAGCCGAGGUUUGCCUGCCGCACCCAGAACUUUGCCCAAACCCUCUUCUGCACUUUCCCCAGGGCUGCCCCCGGCGAGCCCAGCCCCCGGCUGAGCACUCGGACACUGAUCCCCGGUGCAGAGCUGGGGGAGCACUCAAGGGCUACCAGGUGGUUGGGUGUGGAGUUUUGGCAGCAAGGAGUAAUUAACAUGGAGACAAAAGGCUGCCAUGAAGAUGGAGAUCUAGGCAAACAUAGUGUUCUAGCACCUCUAAUGAUGGAAACAGACAUUUCAGAGUGAAAAAUGAUAACAUGAUUUUUAUGUGACUCAUAUGCAAAAUGAAAUACUUUCAUCUAUGAGGUCGGCUGAUGGGAAAUAAAAUCAGAUAUUUCACUUCUAACUCCGUCAAGCAAAAGAAAAAUCGGUUGUGAUUCCAAGAAGAGAUGAACUCUUGGUAAGGAAAUAUUUGUUUUACAAUUUUCAGAAAGAAUUAUCAAAUAACAUACUGUAAACAAGUCGAAUGCCUAAGCAUAUUCUUUGUUUGUUUUAAAUGAAACCAUAAAUGGUACAUGAGGGAACACAGUAACAUU